Molecule: non-coding RNA, 72 nt
Organism: Perkinsus marinus ATCC 50983
Lineage: Eukaryota; Perkinsozoa; Perkinsida; Perkinsidae
Source: Rfam
GUCACUUUAGUUUAGUGGUAGAGCGUCUGCUUCGUAAGCUGAAGGCCGUCAGUUCAAUCCAGGCAAGUGGAU